RNAcentral lists this ribosomal RNA (253 nucleotides) under uncultured bacterium. Its description in RNAcentral is "partial 16S ribosomal RNA". It matches the Rfam family "Bacterial small subunit ribosomal RNA", at positions 524 to 776 of the family's 1533-position model. The record is from RNAcentral.
UACAGAGGGGGCAAGCGUUGUUCGGAAUUACUGGGCGUAAAGGGCGCGUAGGCGGCCUUCUAAGUCGAACGUGAAAUCCCCGGGCUCAACCCGGGAACUGCGUCCGAUACUGGAAGGCUUGAAUCCGGGAGAGGGAUGCAGAAUUCCAGGUGUAGCGGUGAAAUGCGUAGAUAUCUGGAGGAAUACCGGUGGCGAAGGCGGCAUCCUGGACCGACAUUGACGCUGAGGAGCGAAAGCUAGGGGAGCAAACGGG